This 496-nucleotide small RNA is filed under the name uncultured Glomus. Its description in RNAcentral is "SSU rRNA". It matches the Rfam family "Eukaryotic small subunit ribosomal RNA", at positions 569 to 1072 of the family's 1831-position model. The record is from RNAcentral. Lineage: Eukaryota; Fungi; Glomeromycota; Glomeromycetes; Glomerales; Glomeraceae.
AGCAGCCGCGGUAAUUCCAGCUCCAAUAGCGUAUAUUAAAGUUGUUGCAGUUAAAAAGCUCGUAGUUGAAUUUCGGGACUAAUAUGUCGGUCGUACUUUGUACGUACUAGCAUUAUUGGUUUCUCCCUUCUGACGAACCACGAUGUCAUUAAUUUGGUGUCUUGGGAAAUCAGGACUGUUACUUUGAAAAAUUAGAGUGUUUAAAGCAAGCUCGCGCUUGAAUACAUUAGCAUGGAAUAAUGAAAUAGGACGUUUGAUUCUAUUUUGUUGGUUUCUAGGAUCGACGUAAUGAUUAAUAGGGAUAGUUGGGGGCAUUAGUAUUCAAUUGUCAGAGGUGAAAUUCUUGGAUUUAUUGAAGACUAACUACUGCGAAAGCAUUUGCCAAGGAUGUUUUCAUUAAUCAAGAACGAAAGUUAGGGGAUCGAAGACGAUCAGAUACCGUCGUAGUCUUAACCAUAAACUAUGCCGACUAGGGAUCGGAUGAUGUUAAUUUUUA